RNAcentral lists this long non-coding RNA (599 nucleotides) under Sus scrofa (pig). Its description in RNAcentral is "lncRNA (ENSSSCG00070002590.1)". Lineage: Eukaryota; Metazoa; Chordata; Mammalia; Artiodactyla; Suidae. The record is from RNAcentral.
AUGUUAACAAGAAAUUUCUCUGUCAUGCCUUUUUCAGAAUCUCAACCCAAAGUAGACCACGUGGACGACAACUUUGCAACUUGCCUUCUCAAGCUCUUAGUGAUGGUUCUUAUUUUUUAUGUAUUCCGGGAGGAAUGUUUUGGAAAUAAGAAAAGAAAAGGAAAUGUCUCUAGCAUCUGCUGGCCUGCUUUCUGUCUCUGUGAAUUUACCUAUCCAGAUCAACUUAAGGAAAAUGAUCAACUUAGGAAGGAAAAUGAUCAACUUGGGGAGGAAAAUGAUCAACUUAGGAAGGAAAAUGAUCAACUUAGGAAGGAAAAUGAUCAACUUGGGGAGGAAAAUGGAAAAUUGCAAAAGGAAAUUGAUGAGAGGAAAACUCAAUUUAGGAAUGGCUGGCAGAAGUCAUCGUUGUAUCCUGGUGACCUAUGAAAGCCAUUGUCAUACUUGUUCUAAAAAGGCCAAGAUUGUAAAUAUUUUAAAGUUUAUGGCCAUAUGGUCUCUGUCACAAUUACUCAACUGUGCCUUUUUAGCACAAAAGCAACCAUAGACAAUGCAUAAAGAGAUAGCAUGGUUGUGUUACAAUAAAACUAUUUACACUGACA